Molecule: ribosomal RNA, 460 nt
Filed under: uncultured bacterium
Lineage: Bacteria
Description: partial 16S ribosomal RNA
Rfam family: Bacterial small subunit ribosomal RNA
Source: RNAcentral
CCUACGGGAGGCAGCAGUGAGGAAUAUUGGUCAAUGGACGAGAGUCUGAACCAGCCAAGUAGCGUGAAGGAUGACUGCCCUAUGGGUUGUAAACUUCUUUUAUAAAGGAAUAAAACGAGGCACGUGUGCCUUUUUGCAUGUACUUUAUGAAUAAGGAUCGGCUAACUCCGUGCCAGCAGCCGCGGUAAUACGGCGGAUCCGAGCGUUAUCCGGAUUUAUUGGGUUUAAAGGGAGCGUAGAUGGGUUGUUAAGUCAGUUGUGAAAGUUUGCGGCUCAACCGUAAAAUUGCAAUUGAUACUGGCAGUCGUGAGUACAGUUGAGGUAGGCGGAAUUCGUGGGGUAGCGGUGAAAUGCUUAGAUAUCACGAAGAACCCCGAUUGCGAAGGCAGCUUACUAAACUGUGACUGACAUUGAUGCUCGAAAGUGUGGGUAUCAAACAGGAUUAGAUACCCCAGUAGUC